This 256-nucleotide ribosomal RNA is filed under the name uncultured bacterium. Its description in RNAcentral is "partial 16S ribosomal RNA". It matches the Rfam family "Bacterial small subunit ribosomal RNA", at positions 524 to 776 of the family's 1533-position model. The record is from RNAcentral.
UACGGAGGGUGCGAGCGUUAAUCGGAAUGACUGGGCGUAAAGGGUGCGUAGGUGGUUAGAUAAGUUAGCUGUGAAAGUCCUGGGCUUAACCUGGGAAGGUCAGCUAAAACUGUUUUGACUAUAGAGUAUGGGAGAGGGUAGUGGAAUUCCUGGUGUAGCGGUGAAAUGCGCAGAUAUCAGGAGGAACACCGGUGGCGAAGGCGGGUCUCUGGGCCGAUACUGACGCUGAGGAGCGAAAGCGUGGGGAGCAAACAGG